Molecule: ribosomal RNA, 366 nt
Filed under: uncultured bacterium
Lineage: Bacteria
Description: bacterial SSU rRNA
Rfam family: Bacterial small subunit ribosomal RNA
Source: RNAcentral
AUUAAACGCUGGCGGCAUGCCUUACACAUGCAAGUCGAACGGCAGCACGGGGCAACCUGGUGGCGAGUGGCGAACGGGUGAGUAAAGCAUCGGAACGCGCCCUGGAGUGGGGGAUAACGUAGCGAAAGUUACGCUAAUACCGCAUAUUCUGUGAGCAGGAAAGCAGGGGAUCGCAAGACCUUGCGCUCUGGGAGCGGCCGAUGUCGGAUUAGCUAGUUGGUGGGGUAAAGGCCUACCAAGGCGACGAUCCGUAGCGGGUCUGAGAGGAUGAUCCGCCACACUGGGACUGAGACACGGCCCAGACUCCUACGGGAGGCAGCAGUGGGGAAUUUUGGACAAUGGCGGAAGCCUGAUCCAGCCAUGCCG